RNAcentral lists this ribosomal RNA (498 nucleotides) under uncultured bacterium. RNAcentral's name for it is "partial 16S ribosomal RNA". It matches the Rfam family "Bacterial small subunit ribosomal RNA", at positions 30 to 523 of the family's 1533-position model. The record is from RNAcentral.
AUUGAACGCUGGCGGCAUGCCUUACACAUGCAAGUCGAACGGUAACAGGUCUUCGGAUGCUGACGAGUGGCGAACGGGUGAGUAAUACAUCGGAACGUGCCUAGUAGUGGGGGAUAACUACUCGAAAGAGUGGCUAAUACCGCAUGAGAUCUACGGAUGAAAGCAGGGGAUCGCAAGACCUUGUGCUACUAGAGCGGCCGAUGGCAGAUUAGGUAGUUGGUGGGAUAAAAGCUUACCAAGCCGACGAUGUGUACCUGGUCUGAGAGGACGAUCAGCCACACUGGGGCUGAGACACGGCCCAGACUCCUAGGGGAGGCAGCAGUGGGGAAUUUUGGACAAUGGGCGAAAGGCGGAUCCAGCAAUGCCGCGUGCAGGAUGAAGGCCUUCGGUUUGUAAACUGCUUUUGUACGGAACGAAAAGCCCCGGGUUAAUACCCUGUGGUCACGACGGUACCGUAAGAAUAAGCACCGGCUAACUACGUGCCAUCAGCCGCCGUAA